UAGGGAAUCAAGCCCUGUUAAAUGGAUAAUCAUGAUGACUCCAAACCAUCUGAGAAGUAAUAUGGGGAAACAUUUGGGAUUCAUUACCAUAGAUGGAAAAAUUGUGGAUGAAUGGACAGCUGUUUCUAAAUGAUUUUUCCAUUGGAAAUAAUGUCAUUGCUCCUGCACUCCUGCUGUCCUGUUAACAUGACAAGAGGUCACCUGUGUUAUUAUUCAUGUAUAAAUAUAAAAUCUGGGCUUUACUGUUAAGAUGGAACUCAUUUGGAACUUUUGAAAAACUGCUGGAUUAAAGCUGGGGUAGGCAAUAUAUUACUGAAGCAUUUUUUUAUUAUAUUUGUUGAAAUUCUCUUUGUAUCGGACCAAAUUAAUUUAUUGGUUGGCCUACCUGCCUGUUUACCUGCACACACACUGCCCAUAUACUCAUUGAGCAUGAAAAUGUGUUUUUGGGCAGUGGUUUGGAGGGCUGAAGAGAUGGGGGUGGGAAUUUUUCUGUUGGAUACUUUCAAAAUCUAGCUGUCUCUUGCUGUCUGUCUCAAGCUUUUCAUAUGAUAUGUGUGCAGAAAUCUUAAUUAAUGCAAGUAACUAAAGCUGUCAAACAAUUUGAAAUUUAACUUAAUUAAAUCUCACUUAAAAAAAUACAAUAUUUCCCUCUGAAGUGGAGUGGAGUUGAAGUAGAAAGUGCCAUGGCCUCCACCUCUGCAUACCUUUUCUCUUUAUGUUGAUGUGACUGUGAUUACUCAAGCAGAGUCAGGUGUGUCAGUCCUGAGUUGAACCUCACCAGCUGCCUCCCAUUCUGCAAUCAAUUCUCCUUCAAUAACCCUGAACGGCCACUCUCACGCUGCCAGAUCGUAGCUCAUGCUGAUUCUGUCUCCAACAGUUAACCUGUUGGUUUUGCCUCUCAGCUCUGGACUCAGCUUGGCUCUGCUAAUCACUGGGCCCUGCUCUGGCACACACCACUUCUGGCUUUUCCCCUGUCCGGAUUCCCAAAUCACCCCCUUGGAUCAACUUCACUCCCUGCUCACAUUAUUAUGGUUAUAAAUAAAUCAUCUUACAAAAUAUACUCCUGCCUCCAUGUGUCUAGCGCUUGAGUUCACCAGCUCCACCGUAACAGAAAAUGGCAUGAAAAGAAAAAGAACAAGUACCUCAAAUGAGAACUUAUGUAACCUAUGAGUCUAUGUUUAUACUAUACUAAAAUUAUUUGUAUACUCAUCUGGUGAUCCACUCACAUACAUUAGUAUUGACCAUUUUGAACAUCUAGUGGUUGUAAAGAUGUUUAUAAUUCUAAAGUUGUUUAAAUAAAGUAUUCAGGGUUUU
This is a long non-coding RNA of Micropterus salmoides (largemouth bass), 1314 nucleotides long. RefSeq lists it as uncharacterized. NCBI's taxonomy places the organism in Eukaryota, Metazoa, Chordata, Actinopteri, Centrarchiformes, Centrarchidae. The record is from RefSeq and is a predicted model, not a curated record. The transcript is spliced from 2 exons.